CCUACGGGUGGCAGCAGUGAGGAAUAUUGGUCAAUGGCCGGAAGGCUGAACCAGCCAAGCCGCGUGAGGGAGGAAGGCGCAGAGCGUCGCAGACCUCUUUUGCCGGGGGACAAAAGGCCGGACUCGUCCGGUCCUGAGGGUACCCGGAGAAAAAGCAUCGGCUAACUCCGUGCCAGCAGCCGCGGUAAUACGUAGGUGGCAAGCGUUGUCCGGAUUUACUGGGUGUAAAGGGCGUGUAGCCGGGAAGGCAAGUCAGAUGUGAAAUCCGGAGGCUCAACCUCCGAAUUGCAUUUGAAACUGGUUUUCUUGAGUACUGGAGAGGCAGACGGAAUUCCUUGUGUAGCGGUGAAAUGCGUAGAUAUAAGGAGGAACACCAGUGGCGAAGGCGGUCUGCUGGACAGCAACUGACGGUGAGGCGCGAAAGCGUGGGGAGCAAACAGGAUUAGAUACCCCGGUAGUC
Molecule: ribosomal RNA, 460 nt
Filed under: uncultured bacterium
Lineage: Bacteria
Description: partial 16S ribosomal RNA
Rfam family: Bacterial small subunit ribosomal RNA
Source: RNAcentral